UUCACUGGGUUUUGUGUUGUUUUUUUUAUUGCAGCACUAAUUCAAAGGAAUAACCUGUCAUCAGGCUUUGUAUAUUCCCUCCCACUUCCCCUCUUUUAUUUUAUGUCCCACUGAAAUUCCUACUGGAUUCGUUAAUUAGGCUAUCUAUUUUGGUAUGGCUCUAUCAACAAAAUACCACCCAACCCAAAUUUUGUAGGAAGAGAGAAAGAUCUC
This 213-nucleotide long non-coding RNA is filed under the name Elaeis guineensis (African oil palm). RNAcentral describes it as "long non-coding RNA (EGUI_LNC076949)". The record is from RNAcentral. Lineage: Eukaryota; Viridiplantae; Streptophyta; Magnoliopsida; Arecales; Arecaceae.